This 371-nucleotide ribosomal RNA is filed under the name uncultured bacterium. RNAcentral describes it as "partial 16S ribosomal RNA". It matches the Rfam family "Bacterial small subunit ribosomal RNA", at positions 338 to 707 of the family's 1533-position model. The record is from RNAcentral.
CCUACGGGUGGCAGCAGUGAGGAAUAUUGGUCAAUGGCCGCAGGGCUGAACCAGCCAAGUCGCGUGAGGGAUGACGGUCCUAUGGAUUGUAAACCUCUUUUGCCAGGGAGCAAAGGGCGCCACGUGUGGCGCUUUGCGAGUACCUGAAGAAAAAGCAUCGGCUAACUCCGUGCCAGCAGCCGCGGUAAUACGGAGGAGGCGAGCGUUAUCCGGAUUUUUGGGGUUUAAGGGGCGUGCAGGGGGAAUGUAAAGUCAGCGGUAAAAUUUCGGGGCUCAACCCCGUAGUGCCGUUGAAACUGGCGUUCUGGAGUGAGCGAGAAGUAAGCGGAAUGCGUGGUGUAGCGGUGAAAUGCAUAGAUAUCACGCAGAAC